RNAcentral lists this ribosomal RNA (1058 nucleotides) under Citrobacter freundii. RNAcentral describes it as "partial 23S ribosomal RNA". It matches the Rfam family "Bacterial large subunit ribosomal RNA", at positions 139 to 1238 of the family's 2925-position model. The record is from RNAcentral. Lineage: Bacteria; Pseudomonadati; Pseudomonadota; Gammaproteobacteria; Enterobacterales; Enterobacteriaceae.
UUCGUCACACUAUCAUUACGUGAAUACAUAGCGUAAUGAAGCGAACCGGGGGAACUGAAACAUCUAAGUACCCCGAGGAAAAGAAAUCAACCGAGAUUCCCCCAGUAGCGGCGAGCGAACGGGGAGCAGCCCAGAGUCUGAAUCAGCUUGUGUGUUAGUGGAACGGUCUGGAAAGUCCGACGGUACAGGGUGAUAGUCCCGUACACCAAAAUGCACAGGUUGUGAACUCGAAGAGUAGGGCGGGACACGUGGUAUCCUGUCUGAAUAUGGGGGGACCAUCCUCCAAGGCUAAAUACUCCUGACUGACCGAUAGUGAACCAGUACCGUGAGGGAAAGGCGAAAAGAACCCCGGCGAGGGGAGUGAAAAAGAACCUGAAACCGUGUACGUACAAGCAGUGGGAGCCUCUUUAUGGGGUGACUGCGUACCUUUUGUAUAAUGGGUCAGCGACUUAUAUUCUGUAGCAAGGUUAACCGUAUAGGGGAGCCGAAGGGAAACCGAGUCUUAACUGGGCGUUAAGUUGCAGGGUAUAGACCCGAAACCCGGUGAUCUAGCCAUGGGCAGGUUGAAGGUUGGGUAACACUAACUGGAGGACCGAACCGACUAAUGUUGAAAAAUUAGCGGAUGACUUGUGGCUGGGGGUGAAAGGCCAAUCAAACCGGGAGAUAGCUGGUUCUCCCCGAAAGCUAUUUAGGUAGCGCCUCGUGAAUUCAUCUUCGGGGGUAGAGCACUGUUUCGGCUAGGGGGUCAUCCCGACUUACCAACCCGAUGCAAACUGCGAAUACCGAAGAAUGUUAUCACGGGAGACACACGGCGGGUGCUAACGUCCGUCGUGAAGAGGGAAACAACCCAGACCGCCAGCUAAGGUCCCAAAGUCAUGGUUAAGUGGGAAACGAUGUGGGAAGGCACAGACAGCCAGGAUGUUGGCUUAGAAGCAGCCAUCAUUUAAAGAAAGCGUAAUAGCUCACUGGUCGAGUCGGCCUGCGCGGAAGAUGUAACGGGGCUAAACCAUGCACCGAAGCUGCGGCAGCGACACUAUGUGUUGUUGGGUAGGGGAGCG